Molecule: ribosomal RNA, 253 nt
Filed under: uncultured bacterium
Lineage: Bacteria
Description: partial 16S ribosomal RNA
Rfam family: Bacterial small subunit ribosomal RNA
Source: RNAcentral
UACGUAGGGGGCAAGCGUUGUCCGGAUUUAUUGGGCGUAAAGAGCUCGUAGGCGGUCCGUCACGUCCGCUGUGAAAACCCAGGGCUCAACCCUGGGCUUGCAGUGGAUACGGGCAGACUAGAGGUAGGUAGGGGAGAAUGGAAUUCCCGGUGUAGCGGUGAAAUGCGCAGAUAUCGGGAGGAACACCGGUGGCGAAGGCGGUUCUCUGGGCCUUACCUGACGCUGAGGAGCGAAAGCGUGGGGAGCGAACAGG